GCACGAGAUUAUAGCACGCCAUGGGGUACCAGUAACUAUCGUGUCCGAUAGAGAUGCCCAGUUUACCUCAAAUUUUUGGCGCGAUUUUCAGGAACAAAUGGGUACCAAGUUGUUGAUUAGUACUGCAUAUCACCCACAAACCGACGGGCAAAGUGAGCGAACAAUUAGAAGUUAGAAGAUAUGCUUCGGGCGUGCAUAAUAGAUUUCGACGGUAGUUGGGAUGCGUAUCUGCCGUUAGUCGAAUUUUCAUAUAAUAACAGCUACCAUUCAAGUAUUGGUAGAGCCCCAUAUGAAAUGCUUUACGGUAGAAAAUGUCGGACACCAAUAUGCUGGGAAGAAGUAGGCUCUCGAGAGCUUGCUCAUAAAGAUGUGAUUCGGGUGACGGACGAGAAAAUUGACAUGAUCCGAGCCCAUUUGAAGGUAGCUCAAGAUCGACAAAAAUCAUAUGCGGAUAAAAGACGAAGGCCAAUUGAAUUUCAAAUUGGUGAUAAGGUGAUGCUUAAGGUGUCCCCGUGGAAAGGAAUUAUCCGGUUUAGAAAACAAGGAAAGUUAAGCCCGAGAUUUAUAGGGCCUUUUAAAAUCCUAGAUCGGGUGGGUAUGGUAGCUUACCGACUGGAACUACCAGAGGAGUUAAGUGGAAUACAUAACACGUUCCAUGUCUCACAUCUACGGAAGUGUUUAGCGGAUGAUACGGCCUAUGUUCCCCUCGACGAUAUAGAGGUUGAUAAUAAACUCAACUACAUAGCGAGGCCUAUCGCAAUCCUCGACCGUAAAGUUAAGGGUUUAAGGAACAAAGAAAUCGAACAAGUAAAGGUCAAAUGGGAGCACCGGAAGGGAUAAGACACCACUUGGGAGUCUGAAGAAGAAAUGAGACGACUCUACCCUUCGCUUUUUGGCAACUCGGGUGGAGCUUCGGGGAGUUAAGCCAGGGCAAACACAAAGUUGAAGGAAAAGCAGUAAGGACGAUGCAAGCAUAUGGAUGAUGAUCAAGUCAUUGCUAUCAAACCGAACACACUCAAGAUCUUGUUCCGCUACUUUUGUUUAUACUUGUAGUUGAUAAAACUAAUGUAAUUAAAGGAAUAUUAUGUAUCCUAAUGUUGUUUUUGAACGUUUGUUAAACUAGUAAUUACUAAACUAAUGAUAAUGUAAAUGUUUGGGCUUAAC
Long non-coding RNA from Helianthus annuus (common sunflower), 1164 nucleotides. RefSeq lists it as uncharacterized. NCBI's taxonomy places the organism in Eukaryota, Viridiplantae, Streptophyta, Magnoliopsida, Asterales, Asteraceae. The transcript has 3 exons. The record is from RefSeq and is a predicted model, not a curated record.